UAAAAUAUGAGCUUCUUGACCUA
This 23-nucleotide non-coding RNA is filed under the name Arabidopsis thaliana (thale cress). The record is from RNAcentral. Lineage: Eukaryota; Viridiplantae; Streptophyta; Magnoliopsida; Brassicales; Brassicaceae.